RNAcentral lists this ribosomal RNA (393 nucleotides) under uncultured bacterium. Its description in RNAcentral is "bacterial SSU rRNA". It matches the Rfam family "Bacterial small subunit ribosomal RNA", at positions 29 to 445 of the family's 1533-position model. The record is from RNAcentral.
ACGAACGCUGGCGGCAGGCUUAACACAUGCAAGUCGAACGGUUGUAGCAAUACAGCAGUGGCAGACGGGUGAGUAACACGUGGGAACCUUCCUAGGGGUACGGAACAACUCAGGGAAACUUGAGCUAAUACCGUAUACGUCCGUGAGGAGAAAGUUUUAACGCCCCUAGACGGGCCCGCGUAGGAUUAGGUAGUUGGUGAGGUAACGGCUCACCAAGCCUACGAUCCUUAGCUGAUCUGAGAGGANGAUCAGCCACACUGGGACUGAGACACGGCCCAGACUCCUACGGGAGGCAGCAGUGGGGAAGUCUUGGACGAAUGGGCGGCAAGCCUGAUCCAGCCAUGCCGCGUGAGUGAAGAAGGCCUUCGGUUGGUUAAGUACGUCUUUACCUAC